Long non-coding RNA from Alligator sinensis (Chinese alligator), 896 nucleotides. RefSeq lists it as uncharacterized. The transcript is spliced from 3 exons. The record is from RefSeq and is a predicted model, not a curated record. NCBI's taxonomy places the organism in Eukaryota, Metazoa, Chordata, Crocodylia, Alligatoridae.
CCUGCGGCAACGGCAAUGGCCCCGGCCCGCCCGCGGCGGGAGCCCGGCACAGCCAGUAAUCGCGUGUAGGGCAGCCACCCCUUUCCUCGCUGCCUCCGGGCCUGAGGUCAAACUCGGCUUGUCCUUCGUUCCCUCCUGCGCCACCGUUAACUUGCUCUGCUGCUUUUGUCCUUCUAGAGAGUCCACGCUGCCCCGGUGUUAGCAUCCCCAGUGUGCGACAGAGUGGCAACAGAUCCCAGUUAUAGAAGAUAACGCAUCCAAACGAUUUUUACCUUCUGCCAUGGCUCAGUUUGGAGGACAGAAGAACCCGCCUUGGGCUACUCAGUUUACAGCUACUGCAGUCUCUCAGCCAGACUUCUCUUUUAGCUUUUCUUCAUAAGUCAUAUUUCCCAGUCCUCUAACUCACUGAUACUCAAGCAAGAUGCUGCUUUGAAGGGUGCCAUGAGGUGAGGAAAUAAGCAGAUAAGAAAACCAGUUCACCCACCCUUACUGCCCAGUUCCUGUGUGAGGAGGUAAGUACUGUAAAAUAUAAAUUAGUUUUUGAAACUGGGUGCCACUCAGUUCACAGAAGUUAUGCAGGGGUACCUUGAGUUCAAAAAGGUUGAGAACCACUGCUCUAAUAAUUUAUGUUGACUCUUGUGCUCUCAUUAAAAGUCUCCUUCAUGGUCUCUAUUCCUUUGGAGGAGCCAUGAGGUGGUGGAACGUGUUCAGUUGCUCUUUGGAGAUGGCACAUAUGCACUGUGAUUGGGACUAGGAACUUUGAGAAACUGAAUCAUGCCCAGUAAGGAUGGAUUCCCCAGAGACUGCUGUUAAGCUGUAGCAAAUCUCUACUGUGCAUGUGCAAACUGAUUUUACACCCCUCUGUCCUGCUUCACAGGCAUAUAACUGCCAUACAU